Molecule: small nuclear RNA, 120 nt
Organism: Monodelphis domestica (gray short-tailed opossum)
Lineage: Eukaryota; Metazoa; Chordata; Mammalia; Didelphimorphia; Didelphidae
Source: Ensembl
GUGUUGUAUGAGAGAAGGUUAGCACUCCCCUUGAUAAGGAUGGAAGACAUCCUAGUGGCCUUUACAACACACAUACGGUUAAGGCAUUUCCACCUGCUCUGUGGCAUCUAACCAUAUUAC